This 327-nucleotide small RNA is filed under the name Arabidopsis thaliana (thale cress). RNAcentral's name for it is "ATSL293670". The record is from RNAcentral. Lineage: Eukaryota; Viridiplantae; Streptophyta; Magnoliopsida; Brassicales; Brassicaceae.
AAAAGGAAUAUUACACUUUAUUCGAAUAUAGUAUCAAAACUUAUAUAACACAGAGAUUUGAUAAUUUUUUAAUUGUUGAAUACUUUUUUUGUGCUAAUUUUUAUGUGAUUAAGAUUUAAUUGAUUUUGUAUAUAAAAUAUUAAAUUGUUUUACGAACUUAUUUGUUUAUAAUUUGGUAACAGAUAAAUAUUUGAGUAUUCAGUAUAUUUUGCUUCAGUUUAGGAAAUCUUUGAUGAUCCGUCUUUAGAUCCAAUAAGCCCUAUAAUCUAGAUACUAACUUGUAGUAUACCGCAUGUAGGCUUAUAUUUUAGUUAAACUAAAAAUUUU